GAAUUUCCUCGUUAGGCGAGGCUCCUAUACAAACAAAAGCCACUGCCCAGAAACAUCGAAAGAUGCCAUUGGGUAGAACAGGUUUGGUCGGAUUAAGGCUUAACCCAAUGUGGCUGAGAGCAUGACUCUCUACGUUGUAUAGUGCUAAAGCUAAACUAGGGGGAAAAAG
Bacillus smithii is the source of this 169-nucleotide non-coding RNA. The record is from Rfam. NCBI's taxonomy places the organism in Bacteria, Bacillati, Bacillota, Bacilli, Caryophanales, Bacillaceae.